Daphnia magna is the source of this 411-nucleotide long non-coding RNA. RefSeq lists it as uncharacterized. The record is from RefSeq and is a predicted model, not a curated record. NCBI's taxonomy places the organism in Eukaryota, Metazoa, Arthropoda, Branchiopoda, Diplostraca, Daphniidae. The transcript has 2 exons.
AAAGUCUGAUUAAGAGGAUAAAGGCGCAGUACCCUCAAGAUCCAGCGGGCUUUGCUCUCAAGUUGGUUGGAGAAUUGUAUUCUCGGGAGUUUUUGGAGCUCCAUAAAAAAACCAAUACGAAUGCGAAGAUUGGGUUCGAUUUGAAAAUCCCAAUUAGGGUAAAGGAGCUAUCCUACAUUCGAAAUACCAUAACUGAGAUGUAUGUGGCUCUAGAUUCGAAGACGAAAUCAGCGGCCGAGAUGAAAAUCAGCCAAAAAUUCAACAUUAAAUCGAAGGACAUCGUUGCUUGGCUGAAAAAAUUCAACGAAUUGCAAAAAAUAGAUCGUGAAGUCGAUAAAACCAAUUGAUUUUUUAUUACGAAUGUUUUGUCGUUUAUGUUUGAUCAAGAAAUAUACUUUAAAAUUAUGUCAA